This 492-nucleotide ribosomal RNA is filed under the name uncultured bacterium. Its description in RNAcentral is "partial 16S ribosomal RNA". It matches the Rfam family "Bacterial small subunit ribosomal RNA", at positions 29 to 507 of the family's 1533-position model. The record is from RNAcentral.
AGUGAACGCUGGCGGUAGGCCUAACACAUGCAAGUCGAACGGCAGCACAGUAAGAGCUUGCUCUUACGGGUGGCGAGUGGCGGACGGGUGAGGAAUACAUCGGAAUCUACUUUUUCGUGGGGGAUAACGUAGGGAAACUUACGCUAAUACCGCAUACGACCUACGAGUGAAAGCAGGGGAUCUUCGGACCUUGCGCGAUUGAAUGAGCCGAUGUCGGAUUAGCUAGUUGGCGGGGUAAAGGCCCACCAAGGCGACGAUCCGUAGCUGGUCUGAGAGGAUGAUCAGCCACACUGGAACUGAGACACGGUCCAGACUCCUACGGGAGGCAGCAGUAGGGAAUAUUGGACAAUGGGCGCAAGCCUGAUCCAGCCAUACCGCGUGGGUGAAGAAGGCCUUCGGGUUGUAAAGCCCUUUUGUUGGGAAAGAAAAGCAGCAGGUUAAUACCUCGCUGUUCUGACGGUACCUAAAGAAUAAGCACCGGCUAACUUCGUG